AGUGAACGCUGGCGGUAGGCCUAACACAUGCAAGUCGAACGGCAGCACAGUAAGAGCUUGCUCUUACGGGUGGCGAGUGGCGGACGGGUGAGGAAUACAUCGGAAUCUACUUUUUCGUGGGGGAUAACGUAGGGAAACUUACGCUACUACCUCAUACGACCUACGGGUGAAAGCAGGUGAUCUUCGGACCUUUCGCGAUUGAAUGAGCCGAUGUCGGAUUAGCUAGUUGGCGGGGUAAAGGCCCACCAAGGCGACGAUCCGUAGCUGGUCUGAGAGGAUGAUCAGCCACACUGGAACUGAGACACGGUCCAGACUCCUACGGGAGGCAGCAGUGGGGAAUAUUGGACAAUGGGCGAAAGCCUGAUCCAGCCAGACCGCGUGGGUGAAGAAGGCCUUCGGGUUGUAAAGCCCUUUUGAUGGGAAAGAAAAGCAGCAGGUUAAUACCCCGCUGUUCUGACGGUACCCAAAGAAUAAGCACCGGCUAACUUCGUG
RNAcentral lists this ribosomal RNA (492 nucleotides) under uncultured bacterium. Its description in RNAcentral is "partial 16S ribosomal RNA". It matches the Rfam family "Bacterial small subunit ribosomal RNA", at positions 29 to 507 of the family's 1533-position model. The record is from RNAcentral.